Molecule: ribosomal RNA, 2920 nt
Filed under: Escherichia coli
Lineage: Bacteria; Pseudomonadati; Pseudomonadota; Gammaproteobacteria; Enterobacterales; Enterobacteriaceae
Description: 23S ribosomal RNA
Rfam family: Bacterial large subunit ribosomal RNA
Source: RNAcentral
GGGUUGUGAGGUUAAGCGACUAAGCGUACACGGUGGAUGCCCUGGCAGUCAGAGGCGAUGAAGGACGUGCUAAUCUGCGAUAAGCGUCGGUAAGGUGAUAUGAACCGUUAUAACCGGCGAUUUCCGAAUGGGGAAACCCAGUGUGUUUCGACACACUAUCAUUAACUGAAUCCAUAGGUUAAUGAGGCGAACCGGGGGAACUGAAACAUCUAAGUACCCCGAGGAAAAGAAAUCAACCGAGAUUCCCCCAGUAGCGGCGAGCGAACGGGGAGCAGCCCAGAGCCUGAAUCAGUGUGUGUGUUAGUGGAAGCGUCUGGAAAGGCGCGCGAUACAGGGUGACAGCCCCGUACACAAAAAUGCACAUACUGUGAGCUCGAUGAGUAGGGCGGGACACGUGGUAUCCUGUCUGAAUAUGGGGACCAUCCUCCAAGGCUAAAUACUCCUGACUGACCGAUAGUGAACCAGUACCGUGAGGGAAAGGCGAAAAGAACCCCGGCGAGGGAGUGAAAAGAACCUGAAACCGUGUACGUACAAGCAGUGGGAGCCUCUUAAUGGGGUGACUGCGUACCUUUGUAUAAUGGGUCAGCGACUUAUAUUCUGUAGCAAGGUUAACCGAAUAGGGGAGCCGAAGGGAAACCGAGUCUUAACUGGGCGUUAAGUUGCAGGGUAUAGACCCGAAACCCGGUGAUCUAGCCAUGGGCAGGUUGAAGGUUGGGUAACACUAACUGGAGGACCGAACCGACUAAUGUUGAAAAAUUAGCGGAUGACUUGUGGCUGGGGGUGAAAGGCCAAUCAAACCGGGAGAUAGCUGGUUCUCCCCGAAAGCUAUUUAGGUAGCGCCUCGUGAAUUCAUCUCCGGGGGUAGAGCACUGUUUCGGCAAGGGGGUCAUCCCGACUUACCAACCCGAUGCAAACUGCGAAUACCGGAGAAUGUUAUCACGGGAGACACACGGCGGGUGCUAACGUCCGUCGUGAAGAGGGAAACAACCCAGACCGCCAGCUAAGGUCCCAAAGUCAUGGUUAAGUGGGAAACGAUGUGGGAAGGCCCAGACAGCCAGGAUGUUGGCUUAGAAGCAGCCAUCAUUUAAAGAAAGCGUAAUAGCUCACUGGUCGAGUCGGCCUGCGCGGAAGAUGUAACGGGGCUAAACCAUGCACCGAAGCUGCGGCAGCGACACUAUGUGUUGUUGGGUAGGGGAGCGUUCUGUAAGCCUGUGAAGGUGUACUGUGAGGUAUGCUGGAGGUAUCAGAAGUGCGAAUGCUGACAUAAGUAACGAUAAAGCGGGUGAAAAGCCCGCUCGCCGGAAGACCAAGGGUUCCUGUCCAACGUUAAUCGGGGCAGGGUGAGUCGACCCUAAGGCGAGGCCGAAAGGCGUAGUCGAUGGGAAACAGGUUAAUAUUCCUGUACUUGGUGUUACUGCGAAGGGGGGACGGAGAAGGCUAUGUUGGCCGGGCGACGGUUGUCCCGGUUUAAGCGUGUAGGCUGGUUUUCCAGGCAAAUCCGGAAAAUCAAGGCUGAGGCGUGAUGACGAGGCACUACGGUGCUGAAGCAACAAAUGCCCUGCUUCGAGGAAAAGCCUCUAAGCAUCAGGUAACAUCAAAUCGUACCCCAAACCGACACAGGUGGUCAGGUAGAGAAUACCAAGGCGCUUGAGAGAACUCGGGUGAAGGAACUAGGCAAAAUGGUGCCGUAACUUCGGGAGAAGGCACACUGAUAUGUAGGUGAAGUCCCUUGCGGAUGGAGCUGAAAUCAGUCGAAGAUACCAGCUGGCUGCAACUGUUUAUUAAAACACAGCACUGUGCAAACACGAAAGUGGACGUAUACGGUGUGACGCCUGCCCGGUGCCGGAAGGUUAAUUGAUGGGGUUAGCGGUAACGCGAAGCUCUUGAUCGAAGCCCCGGUAAACGGCGGCCGUAACUAUAACGGUCCUAAGGUAGCGAAAUUCCUUGUCGGGUAAGUUCCGACCUGCACGAAUGGCGUAAUGAUGGCGGGCUGUCUCCACCCGAGACUCAGUGAAAUUGAACUCGCUGUGAAGAUGCAGUGUACCCGCGGCAAGACGGAAAGACCCCGUGAACCUUUACUAUAGCUUGACACUGAACAUUGAGCCUUGAUGUGUAGGAUAGGUGGGAGGCUUUGAAGUGUGGACGCCAGUCUGCAUGGAGCCGGCCUUGAAAUACCACCCUUUAAUGUUUGAUGUUCUAACGUUGGCCCCUGAUCGGGGUUGCGGACAGUGUCUGGUGGGUAGUUUGACUGGGGCGGUCUCCUCCUAAAGAGUAACGGAGGAGCACGAAGGUUGGCUAAUCUGGUCGGACAUCAGGAGGUUAGUGCAAUGGCAUAAGCCAGCUUGACUGCGAGCGUGACGGCGCGAGCAGGUGCGAAAGCAGGUCAUAGUGAUCCGGUGGUUCUGAAUGGAAGGGCCAUCGCUCAACGGAUAAAAGGUACUCCGGGGAUAACAGGCUGAUACCGCCCAAGAGUUCAUAUCGACGGCGGUGUUUGGCACCUCGAUGUCGGCUCAUCACAUCCUGGGGCUGAAGUAGGUCCCAAGGGUAUGGCUGUUCGCCAUUUAAAGUGGUACGCGAGCUGGGUUUAGAACGUCGUGAGACAGUUCGGUCCCUAUCUGCCGUGGGCGCUGGAGAACUGAGGGGCUGCUCCUAGUACGAGAGGACCGGAGUGGACGCAUCACUGGUGUUCGGGUUGUCAUGCCAAUGGCACUGCCCGGUAGCUAAAUGCGGAAGAGAUAAGUGCUGAAAGCAUCUAAGCACGAAACUUGCCCCGAGAUGAGUUCUCCCUGACUCCUUGAGAGUCCUGAAGGAACGUUGAAGACGACGACGUUGAUAGGCCGGGUGUGUAAGCGCAGCGAUGCGUUGAGCUAACCGGUACUAAUGAACCGUGAGGCUUAACCUUACAACGCCGAAGGUGUUU